This 253-nucleotide ribosomal RNA is filed under the name uncultured bacterium. Its description in RNAcentral is "partial 16S ribosomal RNA". It matches the Rfam family "Bacterial small subunit ribosomal RNA", at positions 524 to 776 of the family's 1533-position model. The record is from RNAcentral.
UACGAAGGGGGCUAGCGUUGCUCGGAAUCACUGGGCGUAAAGGGUGCGUAGGCGGGUCUUUAAGUCAGGGGUGAAAUCCUGGAGCUCAACUCCAGAACUGCCUUUGAUACUGAAGAUCUUGAGUUCGGGAGAGGUGAGUGGAACUGCGAGUGUAGAGGUGAAAUUCGUAGAUAUUGGGAGGAACACCGGUGGCGAAGGCGACCACCUGGACGGAGAUUGACGCUGAGGCGCGAAAGCGUGGGUAGCAAACAGG